Camelus dromedarius (Arabian camel) is the source of this 3969-nucleotide long non-coding RNA. RefSeq lists it as uncharacterized. The record is from RefSeq and is a predicted model, not a curated record. The transcript has 21 exons. Lineage: Eukaryota; Metazoa; Chordata; Mammalia; Artiodactyla; Camelidae.
CGGGCGCCCGCUGACUGAAGAAAGUGGAACGGGUGUGCUGUUUCCUGUUUACUUCGGGGUAGUUACCUUAGAGGUCACCAUUGUUACCGAAACACCAGGUUCGAUAGUUCUCUGCUUCUUACCCUUUUGAAAACAGACAUAGUGAGUAUUAGAGUUCUAUCAGAGGAGCAGAACUGCUGGCCGAAGGUCAAAUCACAUUGUCAAUUGGAGGAAGCAGGAAAAUCGGCAACUGCAAGGAUGAACUGGGAUCCAUGAGAAUGGACUGGAAUCUGCGUUGGUUUCUCCCUGGUUCCAAGGGUUCAACUUUGACUGUGGAGGUGAUCUGCAGGAGGAGCCAGUCCUUUGUCAUAGACCCAAGUGUUGCUGAAGUUUAAAGAGAAGACCUGGCAGGCGUUGAAGAAGGUCUGGGCCUGGCUGUCACCCCACACCUACAAGAUGAGCUGGCAGAAUAGGUGACAGUUUGCAUGAUCUGCAGUAUUGCCUUGUGCCCACUGAUCUUGGUAUAAAAAGUAUAAGAAUGCUGUUCCACUUCCACCUUCCAAAUCUCAGGCAAAAUGUCUCUGUGGCCCAUGCUAUCCUGGAACUACUCAGGAGAAAGUGGAAAUGUAGUCCUGCUUAUCUAAGUUGACAAAAUAAAAAUUAACCACAGUAAAUAAAUUGUAUGGUAUGUUAAAGUCAGUAAAUGCUGUGGAGAAAAAUAAGGUAGGGGAUGAGAAGUGCCUGGGGGGUAGAAACUGUAAUUUUAAAAAGAGUGCCCAGGAACGGUCUCACUGAGAAGGUGACAUUGAAGAAGAUGAGGAAGUGAAACAUACUGGUAUCUGGAAGAAGAAUAUUCUAAGCAACCACUGCUUCCUGACUGCACCAAACCUGGUGUGGUAGACAGCCUUUUACAAGGCUCCUAGUGUUCCUCCCCUAAGUUACUCCCUCCCUUAUGCAAUCCCCUUCCUUUGAGUGGCAAAGUGAUGAGACGUCACUUCUGGGAUUAGGUUUAAGAGACUGACUAGUGUCUUGCUACCAUUCUUUCUCUUGCCUUUUGGGCUUGCUUGCUUUGACGAACCAAGCUGCUAUACUGGAGAGGCCUAUGUGGCAAGGGACAGAGAGUGGCCUCUGGCCAGCAUCCAGUAAGGAACUGAGGCUGUCAGACCAACAGCCUGUGAGGAACUGAAUCCUGUCAACAACCAGGUGGUCUUGGCAAUGGACACGAUGUUAGAGGGUGACACUUUGGCCUCAGCCAUCAUCCGUUUUCUGCUGGCAUAGUAUGAAUCUCGUCAAGUGCAGUCUUAGUUCUGGAUACCAGAAGUCCAAAAUCAAGAAGUCAGCAGCAUUGGUUCCUUCUGGAGGCUCUGAGGGAGAAUCUGUUCCAGGUCUCUCUCCUAGCUUCUGGUGAUUGCUGGCAAUCCUUGGUGUUCCUUGGCUUGGAGACACAUCACUUCAUCCUUGGCUUCCAUCUUCAUGAGGACCCUGGGCUGCACUAUCAGUUUGCCCUCUGUCAGGGCUGGACACUGAGUCGCCAAGGUCAGUUGCAUGGAUGUUCCCAGCCUACGGUGACCGAUUCCCAGCAAAACCUUGGACACUCAGAUUGGUGGCUUUGGGACAUGGAAGACAGCAUCCUUGAUGACUUCUCUAAGAAGGCAGCAUCAGGAAUUGCAGCAUUGAGGCCCCCUUCAAACAGAUGUCAGGUGACCAAGUCAUACCAAGCUGUCCUGUAUUUUAAGAAGAACAAAUCGUUCUACGGAAAAUGAAGGGAGCCCAGAAAGCUCAAGAGCUUGGAGACGGUAUAUGGCAAUUUUCACCUUGAGAUGUAGGAAUGGAGGCCCAAAGAUAUUAACUAACUUGGUCACAUAAUUAUGUAGCGGACACCUAGAUCUUGAAUCCAGGUCUUCUGAUUGUGAAAGCCACUCUCCUCCCAGGUUAUUGGUUUGUCUUCUCAUCCACAGCAGAGUUCAAAAUGAGCACCGCUUCCCCACAGAGCAAGUGCUCUGAGCAAUGGAGCAGAUCACCUGCCUCCGGAUUUUCUUUCUACUAUCAGGAAGUCUCCAUCUACAUGGUUAGGAAGAUGGAUGCCUAAAGCCACAGAUGCAGAUCCUCCCAGUGGCUACAUCAUAUCUUCUACAACAUGACAAAUACAUUAAUUCAUCAUCUGAACUAACACUUCCCACGUGGGAUAACUAGUGCAGCCAACAUUUGAGUGCCUUCCAUGUGCCAGAUGCAUAUGAUGCAUUUUGAGGAGUUCAAGAGUUCCCAAGGUGUUUAAAGGAGACAGUGCAUGCUAGGACUCAGAUACCGGCUCUUCCAUUAUUUCAAAGCAGUUAAAAAACAAAAAAUGUUCACAUAAUUCUGAAAGCACCAUGUUGGCCUCAAUCAAAGAAUUGAAGUUUCACUGAAGGGGGAGAAAGUGGUGCCCACUCCUUUAUACGUGAACAGGUGGCAGGGAGUUAAAGGACCAUUUGUGAAGAGACCUCCACUGAUGCUAACUACCAGCCUUGAACCAGCCAAGAAUUGAAGCAGAGCAUCCAUGUUAAUCUUCUUCAGAGCAAGAUGGAAACAUACUGAUACUGUGUUACUUACAAAUUGAAGGUUUGUGGCAACCCUCUGUGGAGCCAAGUCUAUCAGUGCCAUUUUUUUCAACAGCAGUUGCUCACUUCGUGUCUCUGUGUCAUAUUUUGCCUUUUGAAGUGAUGAACUACAUUCAUUAUUUUCAAAUGUUGAAUCAGCCUCGCAUAUCUGGGGCAUUCAACUCAUUUCACUCUAAUGACUGCUUUUGCUGCAUCCCACACAUUUUGACUGAACCACACGUUGCCAGCAAAUAUAGGCACUAAAAGAAGCUCUUCUUACCCUCUACAGUCCUACUCAUUUCAUUGACUGAUGCUGUCUAUACUUUUGAUUUAAAAAAAACUGAUGUUCACAUCAAUGACUUCAAGCAGAUGGCUUUAUUCAUCUUGCUUUUUUAGACGUACCUUUCUUGUUUAUUAAGAAGAGAGCUUAUUCUUUGUUUAAUAUUCAGCACUCUAUGGGUGCUCUUUGGUAGCAUGGUAGCAGAUGGAAAUCCUGAGUCAUUCCUCCUGGUAUAUUGAAGAUCAUCAAGAUACCACUGAAGGCUUUAAACAAGAUUUGGAGAGGGGAUGAAUGAUGAGGAUGACUGUUUCCUCCAUGAAGUCUGGAGCCUCCCAUAGGAAGAAUCAAAGCCUGGAGUUGACUUGAAUGCUGGGAGCUAGAAUUAUCUGGAAGCUUUUUCAGCUCCAUUCUGGCUCCAGGAGUAGGAUGACUUGAGUUUGCUGACAUGAGCACAUGCCCUUCUCCUGUGGCUUGGCUGGUGUUUUGCUUUCUAAACAGCUGAAAAAAAAAAAAAAAAAGUUACAAACCGUGUUAUCAUAACACUUAGGCUGAAUUUGCUUAAAAAUUAAUUUAACUCAUUAAUGAGCAUACCAGCAGGAUGAUAACCUACAUCCCCAAUAAGACAUUUUCUAAAGUCUCCCUAGCUCAAGAAGUUAGAAUCUAACUAAAGUUGAGAUUCCGCGUUUUGAUUAAUAUGAACUAUAAACACUAUAUAACAAAUGGUGGUUCUAAAGGAUACAUGCUCAUUAGUAAUAUAAUAUUCUAAGAUUUCCUUUUUGGCUGCAUUAUGAAUUAUGUAACAGCACAAUUUUUCUGUGCAAAAUUAUCAGUAGAGAUGCAAACAAUUUAAUUAUAAAUGGAAAUUUGGAAUGCAACCAUUUUUCAUUUAUAGCUGCUAAUCUAUAGAGGUAAAUGGCUAUCAGUCAAGAACACAGGUUUAUACAUAUAUCUUGAUUACUUAGGUUUGAGGACUUUAUUUUUCUUUUCACAUAACCAACACCAGAUUUCAUAAUCAAAAUAGGUAGAUUCUUUUGUAGUUUCACUGAUUUUGCCAUAUGAAAAAAAAUUUUUUUCUGCUGUGAUAUUUUCAUGUGAUACUAAGUCUCUAAUGUCUAUAUCAGUUGCUUAUAAUUU